AGAGUUUGAUCCUGGCUCAGAUUGAACGCUGGCGGCAGGCCUAACACAUGCAAGUCGAGCGGAUGAAGAGAGCUUGCUCUCUGAUUCAGCGGCGGACGGGUGAGUAAUGCCUAGGAAUCUGCCUGGUAGAGGGGGACAACGUUUCGAAAGGAACGCUAAUACCGCAUACGUCCUACGGGAGAAAGCAGGGGACCUUCGGGCCUUGCGCUAUCAGAUGAGCCUAGGUCGGAUUAGCUAGUUGGUGAGGUAACGGCUCACCAAGGCGACGAUCCGUAACUGGUCUGAGAGGAUGAUCAGUCACACUGGAACUGAGACACGGUCCAGACUCCUACGGGAGGCAGCAGUGGGGAAUAUUGGACAAUGGGCGAAAGCCUGAUCCAGCCAUGCCGCGUGUGUGAAGAAGGUCUUCGGAUUGUAAAGCACUUUAAGUUGGGAGGAAGGGCAUUAACCUAAUACGUUAGUGUUUUGACGUUACCGACAGAAUAAGCACCGGCUAACUUCGUGCCAGCAGCCGCGGUAAUACGAAGGGUGCAAGCGUUAAUCGGAAUUACUGGGCGUAAAGCGCGCGUAGGUGGUUUGUUAAGUUGAAUGUGAAAGCCCCGGGCUCAACCUGGGAACUGCAUCCAAAACUGGCAAGCUAGAGUAUGGCAGAGGGUGGUGGAAUUUCCUGUGUAGCGGUGAAAUGCGUAGAUAUAGGAAGGAACACCAGUGGCGAAGCGACCACCUGGGCUAAUACUGACACUGAGGUGCGAAAGCGUGGGGAGCAAACAGGAUUAGAUACCCUGGUAGUCCACGCCGUAAACGAUGUCGACUAGCCGUUGGGAUCCUUGAGAUCUUAGUGGCGCAGCUAACGCAUUAAGUCGACCGCCUGGGGAGUACGGCCGCAAGGUUAAAACUCAAAUGAAUUUGACGGGGG
This 916-nucleotide ribosomal RNA is filed under the name uncultured bacterium. Its description in RNAcentral is "bacterial SSU rRNA". It matches the Rfam family "Bacterial small subunit ribosomal RNA", at positions 8 to 919 of the family's 1533-position model. The record is from RNAcentral.